AGAGUUUGAUCCUGGCUCAGGAUGAACGCUGGCGGCGUGCCUAAUACAUGCAAGUCGAACGAAACUUCUUUAUCGCCGAGUGCUUGCACUCACCGAUAAAGAGUUGAGUGGCGAACGGGUGAGUAACACGUGGGCAACCUGCCCAAAAGAGGGGGAUAACACUUGGAAACAGGUGCUAAUACCGCAUAACCAUAGUUACCGCAUGGUAACUAUGUAAAAGGUGGCUAUGCUACCGCUUUUGGAUGGGCCCGCGGCGCAUUAGCUAGUUGGUGAGGUAACGGCCCACCAAGGCGACGAUCAGUAGCCGGACUGAGAGGUUGGCCGGCCACAUUGGGACUGAGAUACGGCCCAGACUCCUACGGGAGGCAGCAGUGGGGAAUAUUGCACAAUGGGGGAAACCCUGAUGCAGCGACGCCGCGUGAGUGAAGAAGUAAUUCGUUAUGUAAAGCUCUAUCAGCAGGGAAGAAAAUGACGGUACCUGAUUAAGAAGCCCCGGCUAACUACGUGCCAGCAGCCGCGGUAAUACGUAGGGGGCAAGCGUUAUCCGGAUUUACUGGGUGUAAAGGGAGCGUAGACGGCAGUGCAAGUCUGGAGUGAAAGGCGGGGGCUCAACCCCCGGACUGCUCUGGAAACUGUACAGCUGGAGUGCAGGAGAGGUAAGUGGAAUUCCUAGU
This 674-nucleotide ribosomal RNA is filed under the name uncultured bacterium. Its description in RNAcentral is "bacterial SSU rRNA". It matches the Rfam family "Bacterial small subunit ribosomal RNA", at positions 8 to 674 of the family's 1533-position model. The record is from RNAcentral.